AAACAUGGCUCCCUGUUUUCAUAGCAUAGGGAGUCGAACCUGCCCAAUGAGUUUAAUUGAAUGGCCGCGGUACCCUGACCGUGCAAAGGUAGCAUAAUCAUUUGUUUAUUAAUUGUAGACUGGAAUGAAUGGUCUGACGAGGGAUAGACUGUCUUUUAUUAGUUUUUUAGAAUUUAAUCUUUAAGUUAAAAAGCUUAGAUUUAAUUAGUAGACGAGAAGACCCUGGCGAGCUUUAGCUUUGAGUGGGGCGGUCCUGCUUAAUGUGUUGGUUGGGGCGACUGAGGAACAAACAAAGCUUCCUUUAUUAGAUACCUACGAUCCGAUAGAUGUCGAUAGAAGGCAACAGCUACCGCAGGGAUAACAGCAUAAUUUUUUUAGAGAGCUCCCAUCGAAAAAAGAGUUUGUGACCUCGAUGUUGGACUAGGGUAUCCGGGAGGUGCAGCAGCUUCCAAAGGUUGAUCUGUUCGAUCAUUAAAACCCUACAUGAUCUGA
This 492-nucleotide ribosomal RNA is filed under the name Thylacodes sp. FC-2012. RNAcentral's name for it is "partial 16S ribosomal RNA". It matches the Rfam family "Bacterial large subunit ribosomal RNA", at positions 1811 to 2608 of the family's 2925-position model. The record is from RNAcentral. Lineage: Eukaryota; Metazoa; Mollusca; Gastropoda; Littorinimorpha; Vermetidae.